UCCAUACACACACUAAAGCACUACUACACCAUGGCCCUAGACACACUUCUUCUCCGAGAGCUGGCUGUAGCUUCUGUCCUCUUUUUCAUCACUCACAUCUUCAUUCGUUCUCUUUUAAGAAAAUCCUCUCGUCCUCUGCCACCAGGGCCCAAAGGGUGGCCAGUCAUCGGUGCCCUUCCCCUCCUAGGGACCAUGCCCCAUGUCACAUUAGCCAAAAUGGCAAAAAAAUAUGGUCCCGUCAUGUACCUGAAAAUGGGUACCUGUAAUAUGGUGGUAGCGUCCACUCCUGAUGCAGCUCGAGCGUUCCUCAAAACCCUAGACCUCAAUUUCUCAAACCGUCCUCCAAAUGCAGGGGCUACCCACUUAGCCUAUAACGCUCAAGACAUGGUUUUUGCAGAUUAUGGUCCCAGGUGGAAACUAUUACGCAAGUUAAGUAACCUUCAUAUGCUAGGUGGUAAAGCUCUGGAGGACUGGGGUCAGGUUAGGUCUGCUGAGCUAGGUCAUAUGCUUCGAGCCAUGUGUGAAGCUAGCCAAAGAAAUGAACCAGUGGUGGUACCGGAAAUGUUAACCUAUGCCAUGGCUAAUAUGAUUGGCCAAAUAAUUCUUAGCCGUCGGGUGUUUGUGACCAAAGGUUCAGAGUCUAACGAGUUCAAGGACAUGGUGGUAGAGCUAAUGACCUCUGCAGGAUUCUUCAACAUUGGUGACUUCAU
Molecule: unclassified non-coding RNA, 710 nt
Filed under: Hevea brasiliensis (rubber tree)
Lineage: Eukaryota; Viridiplantae; Streptophyta; Magnoliopsida; Malpighiales; Euphorbiaceae
Source: RNAcentral